CCUACGGGAGGCAGCAGUGAGGAAUAUUGGUCAAUGGACGCAAGUCUGAACCAGCCAUGCCGCGUGCAGGAAGACGGCUCUAUGAGUUGUAAACUGCUUUUGUACGAGGGUAAACGCAGAUACGCGUAUCUGUCUGAAAGUAUCGUACGAAUAAGGAUCGGCUAACUCCGUGCCAGCAGCCGCGGUAAUACGGAGGAUUCAAGCGUUAUCCGGAUUUAUUGGGUUUAAAGGGUGCGUAGGCGGUCGGAUAAGUUAGAGGUGAAAUCCCGAGGCUCAACUUUGGAAUUGCCUCUGAUACUGGUAGGCUAGAGAGUAGUUGCGGUAGGCGGAAUGUAUGGUGUAGCGGUGAAAUGCUUAGAGAUCAUACAGAACACCGAUUGCGAAGGCAGCUUACCAAGCUACUUCUGACGUGGAGGCACGAAAGCGUGGGGAGCAAACAGGAUUAGAUACCCUAGUAGUC
RNAcentral lists this ribosomal RNA (460 nucleotides) under uncultured bacterium. RNAcentral's name for it is "partial 16S ribosomal RNA". It matches the Rfam family "Bacterial small subunit ribosomal RNA", at positions 338 to 795 of the family's 1533-position model. The record is from RNAcentral.